This is a long non-coding RNA of Bubalus bubalis (water buffalo), 662 nucleotides long. RefSeq lists it as uncharacterized. The transcript has 3 exons. NCBI's taxonomy places the organism in Eukaryota, Metazoa, Chordata, Mammalia, Artiodactyla, Bovidae. The record is from RefSeq and is a predicted model, not a curated record.
GAAUAUGGACAACUUCCUUUCCUGUACUCAUGAUUCAAGAGAAUACUCAAUUAUGAAGGAGUCUGGGAUGGCCCGCAGGUACCUCCCACUGACAUGGCUAUUUCCCCUCGCCCCCAAACCUGCAUUCCCCGUCUCCUGGAAGAUCACCACCAUCUGCCAGUGACUCAAGCGGGAAACAUCAGAACAAACACCAACCCCUCCUUCUCCCUCUGCCUUCGCAGCCUCCUGAGUGUUUCCUGGAACCCGGCCCACUGUCCCCACUCCCCUGGCCUUGUCUGUCCUCUCCUGGACUCUGGCAACAGGGCCUCCAGCCUCCAUCCUCCACAAGGUAUCCGAGGCCACCUUCUAAAAAGACCUGGCCGGGAUGCCCACUUCCGACACUGGUCAUCUUUGAGGUUCCUGAGGGCCCAUGUGAUCAAGUCCAUAGCCUCCCUCUGUUCACAGGAAACCUUCUGACUAGGCCCACCUCUGAAUGGCUGCAGGAAGGAAGAAAUUAACACAUCCUCUCUGGGGUCUGACUGGAACCAGGACUUUAGCCACUCCCCUUUUAGUAUUAAAGGAAGCCUGAAUUUCAACUCAGGGAAGAUGACUCUUUGUGAUGCCGAUCCACCAUCUUCUCGGUCUGCUGAUUUUUUGAAUAAAGUCACUAUUCCUUGCCCCAA